UCAGAUUGAGCUAUUUAUAAAACUGUUCAAACCAUGUAGUUCUCUAAUGAACAUUUGUUUUAAAACAUAGUAUUCGCAAAUUUGUUGAGUUUCUUAUGUAGAUAUCAUCCAUGUUUUCCUUUAUUCAUUAAAAAAUAUUCAUAUAAUUACCUAAUGAUAGCAAUGACCGAUCAUAACAGGUGUGGCCAUUGGAGCAGGAUGGCAAGCGUUGGUUGCAUAUGUGAACAUUGGUUGCUAUUAUAUAUUUGGUAUUCCCCUAGGCCUUAUGAUGGGUUAUAAGCUUGAAAUGGGAGUUCGGGGCAUUUGGUAUGGAAUGUUAUCAGGCACUAUGGUACAAACACUAAUCCUAUUCUGGAUGACUCAUCGGACAAAUUGGAACAAAGAGGCUUCAAUGGCUGGGAUAAGGAUAAAGAGAUGGGGUGGUGAACCAGAAGUGAAGACAACGCUUUAGAGAAGUAAAAUAGUGGGCAAAAUACGGCACACGGCCGGUAGCCUUCAGGAGUUCUCUUUAAAGCUUUAAUUAUUUUAUUUCUAGGAGUAGCAAACAAUGUUUAACAAACUUUUCAUUCCGAAUUCUCGAAAAGGAACAACUUCCAAGUAUCAUUACUUGUAGAUUAUGUAUUGCUUAUUAACUAUGAUUUUUUGGUAUCAAUAACUUGAGAUUUUUUGGACUUAAUUGAUG
Phoenix dactylifera (date palm) is the source of this 682-nucleotide non-coding RNA. NCBI's taxonomy places the organism in Eukaryota, Viridiplantae, Streptophyta, Magnoliopsida, Arecales, Arecaceae. The record is from RefSeq and is a predicted model, not a curated record.